RNAcentral lists this ribosomal RNA (468 nucleotides) under uncultured bacterium. Its description in RNAcentral is "partial 16S ribosomal RNA". It matches the Rfam family "Bacterial small subunit ribosomal RNA", at positions 28 to 507 of the family's 1533-position model. The record is from RNAcentral.
GACGAACGCUGGCGGCGUGCUUAACACAUGCAAGUCGAACGGAAAGGCCCUGCUUUUGUGGGGUGCUCGAGUGGCGAACGGGUGAGUAACACGUGAGUAACCUGCCCUUGACUUUGGGAUAACUUCAGGAAACUGGGGCUAAUACCGGAUAGGAGCUCCUGCUGCAUGGUGGGGGUUGGAAAGUUUCGGCGGUUGGGGAUGGACUCGCGGCUUAUCAGCUUGUUGGUGGGGUAGUGGCUUACCAAGGCUUUGACGGGUAGCCGGCCUGAGAGGGUGACCGGCCACGUUGGGACUGAGAUACGACCCAGACUCCUACGGGAGGCAGCAGUGGGGAAUAUUGCACAAUGGGCGGAAGCCUGAUGCAGCAACGCCGCGUGCGGGAUAACGGCCUGCGGGUUGUAAACCGCUUUCGCCUGUGACGAAGCGUGAGUGACGGUAAUGGGUAAAGAAGCACCGGCUAACUACGUG